CUGGUUAUAAGCUUCUGAACAAUGAUGAGGAUGGUGGCAUUUGACAUUCGUUUACAGAGGAUGAAACUGAGGCACAGAGAAGUCAAGCGUCUUGUGCAGGGCCAGGAUUGGGACCCACGCAGCCUGCUCCAGAGCCGGGCUCUGACCCUCCACAAGAGCCAUCACUAAAGUUCCACUUACCGCUGCACCUUCAAUCUCUUCCUCUCUCCAUCCCUCCCACAUGUUCACAGACAAAAUCUUCUUCCUUAUUUAAUAAAACAAUAUAAUGACCAGCCUGGCAAA
This is a long non-coding RNA of Homo sapiens (human), 282 nucleotides long. Ensembl annotates it as long intergenic non-protein coding RNA 2396. The record is from Ensembl. NCBI's taxonomy places the organism in Eukaryota, Metazoa, Chordata, Mammalia, Primates, Hominidae.